This 2921-nucleotide ribosomal RNA is filed under the name Staphylococcus aureus. RNAcentral's name for it is "bacterial LSU rRNA". It matches the Rfam family "Bacterial large subunit ribosomal RNA". The record is from RNAcentral. Lineage: Bacteria; Bacillati; Bacillota; Bacilli; Caryophanales; Staphylococcaceae.
UUAAGUUAUUAAGGGCGCACGGUGGAUGCCUUGGCACUAGAAGCCGAUGAAGGACGUUACUAACGACGAUAUGCUUUGGGGAGCUGUAAGUAAGCUUUGAUCCAGAGAUUUCCGAAUGGGGAAACCCAGCAUGAGUUAUGUCAUGUUAUCGAUAUGUGAAUACAUAGCAUAUCAGAAGGCACACCCGGAGAACUGAAACAUCUUAGUACCCGGAGGAAGAGAAAGAAAAUUCGAUUCCCUUAGUAGCGGCGAGCGAAACGGGAAGAGCCCAAACCAACAAGCUUGCUUGUUGGGGUUGUAGGACACUCUAUACGGAGUUACAAAGGACGACAUUAGACGAAUCAUCUGGAAAGAUGAAUCAAAGAAGGUAAUAAUCCUGUAGUCGAAAAUGUUGUCUCUCUUGAGUGGAUCCUGAGUACGACGGAGCACGUGAAAUUCCGUCGGAAUCUGGGAGGACCAUCUCCUAAGGCUAAAUACUCUCUAGUGACCGAUAGUGAACCAGUACCGUGAGGGAAAGGUGAAAAGCACCCCGGAAGGGGAGUGAAAUAGAACCUGAAACCGUGUGCUUACAAGUAGUCAGAGCCCGUUAAUGGGUGAUGGCGUGCCUUUUGUAGAAUGAACCGGCGAGUUACGAUUUGAUGCAAGGUUAAGCAGUAAAUGUGGAGCCGUAGCGAAAGCGAGUCUGAAUAGGGCGUUUAGUAUUUGGUCGUAGACCCGAAACCAGGUGAUCUACCCUUGGUCAGGUUGAAGUUCAGGUAACACUGAAUGGAGGACCGAACCGACUUACGUUGAAAAGUGAGCGGAUGAACUGAGGGAAGCGGAGAAAUUCCAAUCGAACCUGGAGAUAGCUGGUUCUCUCCGAAAUAGCUUUAGGGCUAGCCUCAAGUGAUGAUUAUUGGAGGUAGAGCACUGUUUGGACGAGGGGCCCCUCUCGGGUUACCGAAUUCAGACAAACUCCGAAUGCCAAUUAAUUUAACUUGGGAGUCAGAACAUGGGUGAUAAGGUCCGUGUUCGAAAGGGAAACAGCCCAGACCACCAGCUAAGGUCCCAAAAUAUAUGUUAAGUGGAAAAGGAUGUGGCGUUGCCCAGACAACUAGGAUGUUGGCUUAGAAGCAGCCAUCAUUUAAAGAGUGCGUAAUAGCUCACUAGUCGAGUGACACUGCGCCGAAAAUGUACCGGGGCUAAACAUAUUACCGAAGCUGUGGAUUGUCCUUUGGACAAUGGUAGGAGAGCGUUCUAAGGGCGUUGAAGCAUGAUCGUAAGGACAUGUGGAGCGCUUAGAAGUGAGAAUGCCGGUGUGAGUAGCGAAAGACGGGUGAGAAUCCCGUCCACCGAUUGACUAAGGUUUCCAGAGGAAGGCUCGUCCGCUCUGGGUUAGUCGGGUCCUAAGCUGAGGCCGACAGGCGUAGGCGAUGGAUAACAGGUUGAUAUUCCUGUACCACCUAUAAUCGUUUUAAUCGAUGGGGGGACGCAGUAGGAUAGGCGAAGCGUGCGAUUGGAUUGCACGUCUAAGCAGUAAGGCUGAGUAUUAGGCAAAUCCGGUACUCGUUAAGGCUGAGCUGUGAUGGGGAGAAGACAUUGUGUCUUCGAGUCGUUGAUUUCACACUGCCGAGAAAAGCCUCUAGAUAGAAAAUAGGUGCCCGUACCGCAAACCGACACAGGUAGUCAAGAUGAGAAUUCUAAGGUGAGCGAGCGAACUCUCGUUAAGGAACUCGGCAAAAUGACCCCGUAACUUCGGGAGAAGGGGUGCUCUUUAGGGUUAACGCCCAGAAGAGCCGCAGUGAAUAGGCCCAAGCGACUGUUUAUCAAAAACACAGGUCUCUGCUAAACCGUAAGGUGAUGUAUAGGGGCUGACGCCUGCCCGGUGCUGGAAGGUUAAGAGGAGUGGUUAGCUUCUGCGAAGCUACGAAUCGAAGCCCCAGUAAACGGCGGCCGUAACUAUAACGGUCCUAAGGUAGCGAAAUUCCUUGUCGGGUAAGUUCCGACCCGCACGAAAGGCGUAACGAUUUGGGCACUGUCUCAACGAGAGACUCGGUGAAAUCAUAGUACCUGUGAAGAUGCAGGUUACCCGCGACAGGACGGAAAGACCCCGUGGAGCUUUACUGUAGCCUGAUAUUGAAAUUCGGCACAGCUUGUACAGGAUAGGUAGGAGCCUUUGAAACGUGAGCGCUAGCUUACGUGGAGGCGCUGGUGGGAUACUACCCUAGCUGUGUUGGCUUUCUAACCCGCACCACUUAUCGUGGUGGGAGACAGUGUCAGGCGGGCAGUUUGACUGGGGCGGUCGCCUCCUAAAAGGUAACAGAGGGGCUCAAAGGUUCCCUCAGAAUGGUUGGAAAUCAUUCAUAGAGUGUAAAGGCAUAAGGGAGCUUGACUGCGAGACCUACAAGUCGAGCAGGGUCGAAAGACGGACUUAGUGAUCCGGUGGUUCCGCAUGGAAGGGCCAUCGCUCAACGGAUAAAAGCUACCCCGGGGAUAACAGGCUUAUCUCCCCCAAGAGUUCCCAUCGACGGGGAGGUUUGGCACCUCGAUGUCGGCUCAUCGCAUCCUGGGGCUGUAGUCGGUCCCAAGGGUUGGGCUGUUCGCCCAUUAAAGCGGUACGCGAGCUGGGUUCAGAACGUCGUGAGACAGUUCGGUCCCUAUCCGUCGUGGGCGUAGGAAAUUUGAGAGGAGCUGUCCUUAGUACGAGAGGACCGGGAUGGACAUACCUCUGGUGUACCAGUUGUCGUGCCAACGGCAUAGCUGGGUAGCUAUGUGAGGACGGGUUAAGUGCUGAAAGCAUCUAAGCAUGAAGCCCCCCUCAAGAUGAGAUUUCCCAACUUCGGUUAUAAGAUCCCUCAAAGAUGAUGAGGUUAAUAGGUUCGAGGUGGAAGCAUGGUGACAUGUGGAGCUGACGAAUACUAAUCGAUCGAAGACUUAAUCAA